Molecule: ribosomal RNA, 497 nt
Filed under: uncultured bacterium
Lineage: Bacteria
Description: bacterial SSU rRNA
Rfam family: Bacterial small subunit ribosomal RNA
Source: RNAcentral
AUUGAACGCUGGCGGUAUGCUUAACACAUGCAAGUCGAACGGUAACAGGCCUUCGGGCGCUGACGAGUGGCGGACGGGUGAGUAACGCGUAGGAAUCUGCCUUAUAGUGGGGGACAACGUGGGGAAACUCACGCUAAUACCGCAUACGCCCUACGGGGGAAAGCGGGGGAUCGUAAGACCUCGCGCUAUGAGAUGAGCCUGCGUUAGAUUAGCUAGUUGGUAGGGUAAAGGCCUACCAAGGCGACGAUCUAUAGCUGGUCUGAGAGGACGAUCAGCCACACUGGGACUGAGACACGGCCCAGACUCCUACGGGAGGCAGCAGUGGGGGAAUAUUGGACAAUGGGCGCAAGCCUGAUCCAGCAAUACCGCGUGUGUGAAGAAGGCCUUAGGGUUGUAAAGCACUUUCAAUGGGGAGGAAAACCUGCCGGUCAAUACCCGGUAGCUUGACAUUACCUAUAGAAGAAGCACCGGCUAACUCCGUGCCAGCAGCCGCGGUA